RNAcentral lists this ribosomal RNA (608 nucleotides) under Lactobacillus gasseri. RNAcentral describes it as "bacterial SSU rRNA". It matches the Rfam family "Bacterial small subunit ribosomal RNA", at positions 44 to 611 of the family's 1533-position model. Lineage: Bacteria; Bacillati; Bacillota; Bacilli; Lactobacillales; Lactobacillaceae. The record is from RNAcentral.
GUGCCUAAUACAUGCAAGUCGAGCGAGCUUGCCUAGAUGAUUUUAGUGCUUGCACUAAAUGAAACUAGAUACAAGCGAGCGGCGGACGGGUGAGUAACACGUGGGUAACCUGCCCAAGAGACUGGGAUAACACCUGGAAACAGAUGCUAAUACCGGAUAACAACACUAGACGCAUGUCUAGAGUUUGAAAGAUGGUUCUGCUAUCACUCUUGGAUGGACCUGCGGUGCAUUAGCUAGUUGGUAAGGUAACGGCUUACCAAGGCAAUGAUGCAUAGCCGAGUUGAGAGACUGAUCGGCCACAUUGGGACUGAGACACGGCCCAAACUCCUACGGGAGGCAGCAGUAGGGAAUCUUCCACAAUGGACGAAAGUCUGAUGGAGCAACGCCGCGUGAGUGAAGAAGGGUUUCGGCUCGUAAAGCUCUGUUGGUAGUGAAGAAAGAUAGAGGUAGUAACUGGCCUUUAUUUGACGGUAAUUACUUAGAAAGUCACGGCUAACUACGUGCCAGCAGCCGCGGUAAUACGUAGGUGGCAAGCGUUGUCCGGAUUUAUUGGGCGUAAAGCGAGUGCAGGCGGUUCAAUAAGUCUGAUGUGAAAGCCUUCCGGCUCA